Long non-coding RNA from Vulpes vulpes (red fox), 496 nucleotides. NCBI's taxonomy places the organism in Eukaryota, Metazoa, Chordata, Mammalia, Carnivora, Canidae. The record is from Ensembl.
GAUGUGUCAGCCUCUGAGGAUCCCCGCAGGAGGCUGCCUACGGAUGGAGGGGAUGGCCUGGGGACAAGCCAGUCCAGUCGCCCUGAGUUUCGAGGGGUCUGUAUCACUCAGCACAGCCGUGAUCCGCUCGCUGUGUACCAGGGUGUUUCGGCACCUCGGUUCGUGAGCCGUCGUGUGGAUAAUGUUGGAAAAGGACAUCCCUGCGUCCCGUUCCCCGUGCCAUGUAUGUGCCUGACUGAGAUGCUCUGGGAAGAGCCCGACUGUGACCAGGAGACCCUGAAAUUCUGCACUUCCAGCAAAGAGUUGGGACGUGGCUGUGCUCGCUGCGGCAGCACCUGUACCAGAAAAAGGAAGUCGAAACAUUUCUUCUCUCAAGUGUUGGCUCCCACUCCUUUCUCAUCCACAACGGAAUGCCAUCUCAUGUAAAAUGUGGAAAUAUAAGGUAGACGCAGGAAGACCAGACACAGGUAGAUGAUGACUCUGUUAACACAGAAUU